RNAcentral lists this ribosomal RNA (446 nucleotides) under uncultured bacterium. RNAcentral describes it as "bacterial SSU rRNA". It matches the Rfam family "Bacterial small subunit ribosomal RNA", at positions 329 to 792 of the family's 1533-position model. The record is from RNAcentral.
AGCCAGACUCCUACGGGAGGCAGCAGUGGGGAAUAUUGCACAAUGGGGGAAACCCUGAUGCAGCGACGCCGCGUGAGUGAAGAAGUAAUUCGUUAUGUAAAGCUCUAUCAGCAGGGAAGAAAAUGACGGUACCUGAGUAAGAAGCCCCGGCUAACUACGUGCCAGCAGCCGCGGUAAUACGUAGGGGGCAAGCGUUAUCCGGAUUUACUGGGUGUAAAGGGAGCGUAGACGGCAGUGCAAGUCCGGAGUGGAAGCCCGGGGCUCAACCCUGGGACUGCUCUGGAAACUGUAAAGCUGGAGUGCGGGAGGGGCAGGCGGAAUUCCUGGUGUAGCGGUGAAAUGCGUAGAUAUCAGGAGGAACACCGGCGGCGAAGGCGGCCUGCUGGACCGUAACUGACGUUGAGGCUCGAAAGCGUGGGGAGCAAACAGGAUUAGAUACCCUUGUA